This 442-nucleotide ribosomal RNA is filed under the name uncultured bacterium. RNAcentral's name for it is "partial 16S ribosomal RNA". It matches the Rfam family "Bacterial small subunit ribosomal RNA", at positions 338 to 795 of the family's 1533-position model. The record is from RNAcentral.
CCUACGGGUGGCAGCAGUAGGGAAUCUUUCACAAUGGGCGAAAGCCUGAUGGAGCAACGCCGCGUGCAGGAUGAAGGCCUUCGGGUUGUAAACUGCUUUUAUAAGCGAGAAAUAUGAUGGUAACUUAUGAAUCAGGAUCGGCUAACAACGGGCCAGCAGCCGAGGUCAUACGUAGGAUCCGCGCAUUAUCCGGAGUGACUGGGUGUAAAGAGUUGCGUAGGUAGCAUUAUAAGGUGCUAGUGAAAUCUGGUGGCUCAACCAUUCAGAAUACUAGCUAAACGGGUAAGCUCGAGACCGUUAGGGGUAAGUGGAAUUCCUAGUGUAGGAGUGAAAUCCGUAGAUAUUAGAAGGAACACCAAUAGCGUAGGCAGGUUGCUGGGACGGUUCUGACACUAAGGCACGAAAGCGUAGGGAGCAAACGGGAUUAGAUACCCUAGUAGUC